This 668-nucleotide long non-coding RNA is filed under the name Homo sapiens (human). RNAcentral's name for it is "HSALNT0222442". Lineage: Eukaryota; Metazoa; Chordata; Mammalia; Primates; Hominidae. The record is from RNAcentral.
GUGAGACGGAGUCUUGCUCUGUCGCCCAGGCUGGAGUGCAGUGGCGCAAUCUCGCCUCAUUGCAAGCUCCACCUCCCGGGUGCACGCCAUUCCCCUGCCUCAGCCUCCUGAGUAGCUGGGAUUACAGGCUGAAGAAGGAGAACUGCUUGAACUCGGGAGGCAGAGGGUGCAGUGAACCAAGAUCGCACCACUGCACUCCACCUCUGGGCAACAAAGCAAGACCCCGUCUCAGGGAGAAAAAAAAGACACUAUCCAGUGACAACGGCAAGAGAAACAGGUCAUAAUUUGUUAAUGAGAUGGCAACUUUGGUCAAACCUUUUCUGAGGGUAGUUUGGCAGAAGUGAUCAAAAUUUAAAAUGCACAUGAACUAGGACCUAGAAAUACCCAUUAUAGGAACCUGCUCAACAGAAAUACCAAGUAUAGAAGUAUAAGAAUUUUCACAUCCACAUUAUUUGGGAAAGCAUUUUCCCAUUUAUACAUUUUUUCAAGAGGAGACUGCCUAUAAAUUAUGCUAUAUUCAUACUUGAAAUAUUAUGCAGCCAUUAAAAAAAUAUGGAAGGUUAUUCAUGAGAUACCACUGAGCGAAAAAAAACAAGCUACUGAGUAGUGCACAAUAUUCCAUUUUUGUGUUAAAAAAGUAAAUUUCUAUGAUAUGGUAAUAUUCAAAA